This 468-nucleotide ribosomal RNA is filed under the name uncultured bacterium. Its description in RNAcentral is "partial 16S ribosomal RNA". It matches the Rfam family "Bacterial small subunit ribosomal RNA", at positions 28 to 507 of the family's 1533-position model. The record is from RNAcentral.
GACGAACGCUGGCGGCGUGCUUAACACAUGCAAGUCGAACGGAAAGGCCCUGCUUUUGUGGGGUGCUCGAGUGGCGAACGGGUGAGUAACACGUGAGUAACCUGCCCUUGACUUUGGGAUAACUUCAGGAAACUGGGACUAAUACCGGAUAGGAGCUCCUGCUGCAUGGUGGGGGUUGGAAAGUUUCGGCGGUUGGGGAUGGACUCGCGGCUUAUCAGCUUGUUGGUGGGGUAGUGGCUUACCAAGGCUUUGACGGGUAGCUGGCCUGAGAGGGUGACCGGCCACAUUGGGACUGAGAUACGGCCCAGACUCCUACGGGAGGCAGCAGUGGGGAAUAUUGCACAAUGGGCGGAAGCCUGAUGCAGCAACGCCGCGUGCGGGAUGACGGCCUUCGGGUUGUAAGCCGCUUUCGCCUGUGACGAAGCGUGAGUGACGGUAAUGGGUAAAGAAGCACCGGCUAACUACGUG